AGCAGUCGCCGCGGUAAUACGGAGGGUGCAAGCGUUAAUCGGAAUUACUGGGCGUAAAGCGCACGCAGGCGGUCUGACAAGUCAGAUGUGAAAUCCCCGGGCUUAACCUGGGAACUGCAUUUGAAACUGUCAGGCUGGAGUCUUGUAGAGGGGGGUAGAAUUCCAGGUGUAGCGGUGAAAUGCGUAGAGAUCUGGAGGAAUACCGGUGGCGAAGGCGGCCCCCUGGACAAAGACUGACGCUCAGGUGCGAAAGCGUGGGGAGCAAACAGGAUUAGAUACCCGUGUAGUCCCUGUCUCUUAUAC
This 303-nucleotide ribosomal RNA is filed under the name uncultured bacterium. RNAcentral describes it as "partial 16S ribosomal RNA". It matches the Rfam family "Bacterial small subunit ribosomal RNA", at positions 507 to 807 of the family's 1533-position model. The record is from RNAcentral.